This 433-nucleotide ribosomal RNA is filed under the name uncultured bacterium. Its description in RNAcentral is "partial 16S ribosomal RNA". It matches the Rfam family "Bacterial small subunit ribosomal RNA", at positions 29 to 507 of the family's 1533-position model. The record is from RNAcentral.
AGCGAACGCUGGCGGCAGGCCUAACACAUGCAAGUCGAACGAACUCUUCGGAGUUAGUGGCGGACGGGUGAGUAACACGUGGGAACGUGCCUUUUGGUUCGGAAUAACUCAGGGAAACUUGUGCUAAUACCGAAUGUGCCCUUCGGGGGAAAGAUUUAUCGCCAUUAGAGCGGCCCGCGUCUGAUUAGCUAGUUGGUGAGGUAACGGCUCACCAAGGCGACGAUCAGUAGCUGGUCUGUGAGGAUGACCAGCCACACUGGGACUGAGACACGGCCCAGACUCCUACGGGAAGCAGCAGUGGGGAAUCUUGCGCAAUGGGCGAAAGCCUGACGCAGCCAUGCCGCGUGAAUGAUGAAGGUCUUAGGAUUGUAAAAUUCUUUCACCGGGGACGAUAAUGACGGUACCCGGAGAAGAAGCCCCGGCUAACUUCGUG